CUUGACCUCUCCUUUUUCUUUUUUUUCUUCUAUUUUUUUCUCCCUUUUUUUUUGACUUCGAUUUUUUUGAUUUUUGAUUUUUGAUUUUGUUUUGUUUUUUUUUUGUUUUUCCUUUUUUUUUGAGUCUGAACUCAUGAGAUCAGGCAAGUCCUGGUCAUGCUUUUCGACCAAAAUCAAUGUUAUUCUAAAGUCUUCCACUUUCAUCUUGUAUGUGAAAAUUCUUCAUUGGUAUCAGAUUUCUUUCAUAGAGCCCUUUUGAGACGCAACUACGACAGAAAACUUUGG
RNAcentral lists this long non-coding RNA (285 nucleotides) under Gossypium raimondii (Peruvian cotton). Its description in RNAcentral is "long non-coding RNA (GRAI_LNC002552)". Lineage: Eukaryota; Viridiplantae; Streptophyta; Magnoliopsida; Malvales; Malvaceae. The record is from RNAcentral.